AUUGAACGCUGGCGGCAUGCCUUACACAUGCAAGUCGAACGGCAGCACGGGAGCAAUCCUGGUGGCGAGUGGCGAACGGGUGAGUAAUAUAUCGGAACCGUGCCCGAGUCGUGGGAUAACGUAGCGAAAGCUACGCUAAUACCGCAUACGAUCUAUGGAUGAAAGCGGGGGAUCGCAAGACCUCGCGCGAUUGGAGCGGCCGAUAUCAGGAUUAGGUAGUUGGUGAGGUAAAGGCUCACCGAAGCCGACGAUCUGUA
This 257-nucleotide ribosomal RNA is filed under the name uncultured bacterium. Its description in RNAcentral is "partial 16S ribosomal RNA". It matches the Rfam family "Bacterial small subunit ribosomal RNA", at positions 30 to 285 of the family's 1533-position model. The record is from RNAcentral.